This 444-nucleotide ribosomal RNA is filed under the name uncultured bacterium. RNAcentral's name for it is "partial 16S ribosomal RNA". It matches the Rfam family "Bacterial small subunit ribosomal RNA", at positions 331 to 792 of the family's 1533-position model. The record is from RNAcentral.
CCAGACUCCUACGGGAGGCAGCAGUGGGGAAUAUUGCGCAAUGGGCGAAAGCCUGACGCAGCGACGCCGCGUGAGUGAUGACGGCCUUCGGGUUGUAAAGCUCUGUCUUCAGGGACGAUAAUGACGGUACCUGAGGAGGAAGCCACGGCUAACUACGUGCCAGCAGCCGCGGUAAUACGUAGGUGGCAAGCGUUAUCCGGAUUUACUGGGUGUAAAGGGCGUGUAGGCGGGUCUGCAAGUCAGAUGUGAAAUUCCAGGGCUCAACCCUGGAACUGCAUUUGAAACUGUAGAUCUUGAGUGAUGGAGAGGCAGGCGGAAUUCCGUGUGUAGCGGUGAAAUGCGUAGAUAUACGGAGGAACACCAGUGGCGAAGGCGGCCUGCUGGACAUUAACUGACGCUGAGGCGCGAAAGCGUGGGGAGCAAACAGGAUUAGAUACCCUAGUA